Molecule: ribosomal RNA, 1494 nt
Filed under: uncultured bacterium
Lineage: Bacteria
Description: bacterial SSU rRNA
Rfam family: Bacterial small subunit ribosomal RNA
Source: RNAcentral
GAUAAACGCUGGCGGCGUGCUUUACCAAUGCGAGUCGAACGGGCUCUGCUCUUCGGAGGGGAGUCAGUGGCGUCCGGGUGCGUAACACGUGGGUGACCUACCUCGAUGUGGGGGAUACCCACCCGAAAGGGUGGCUAAUACCGCAUGGGCUGCUUCUAUUUAGGAGGGAGUAGCAAAGCCUUGCUCGUGAGAGCGGGGCGCGUCGGGAGGGGCCCGCGGCCUAUCAGCUGGCUGGUGGGGUAAUGGCCUACCAGGGCGACGACGGGUAGCCGAUCUGAGAGGAUGACCGGCCACAGUGGGACUGAGAGAUGGUCCACAGCUCUACGGGGUUUAGCAUGGAGGAAUCUUGCGCAACGAUCUGGCGAUCGGCGCAGCAACGCCGCGUGGGGGAUGACGGCCCUUGGGUUGUAAACCCCUGUUGCUCGGGAAGAAGUAGUCACGGGGAGAGCCUGUGGCGAAGACGGUACCGGACGAGGAAGCACCGGCUAACUACGUGCCAGCAGCCGCGGUAAUACGUAGGGUGCGAGCGUUAUCCGGAUUCAUUGGGCGUAAAGGGCGCGCAGGCGGCCAUCAGCAGUGGUCCGUGGAAUCUCCCCGCUCACCGGGGAGGGGUCGGACCAGACGGGGUGGCUUGGGGCAGGCAGAGGAUCGCGGAACGGGCGGAGUAGGGGUGAAAUCCGUAGAGACCGUCCGGAACACCAGAGGCGAAGGCAGCGAUCUGGGCUGGGUCGAAAGACACUCUCGCAAGAGAGCCCGACGCUCGGGCGCGAAAGCGUGGGGAGCGAACGGAAUUAGAUACUCCGGUAGUCCACGCCCUAAACGAUGGCCACUCGGUGUCGGGGGUAUCGACCCCUCCGGUGCCUCAGCAAACGCGGUAAGUGGCCCGCCUGGGGACUACGGCCGCAAGGCUAAAACUCAAAGGAAUUGACGGGGGCCCGCACAAGCAGCGGAGCGUGUGGAUUAAUUCGAUGCAACGCGAAGAACCUUACCCAGGCUUGACAUGCACGUGGUACUGCCCCGAAAGGGAAGGGACCCGCAAGGGAGCGUGCACCGGUGCUGCAUGGCUGUCGUCAGCUCGUGCCGUGAGGUGUUGGGUUAAGUCCCGCAACGAGCGCAACCCUCGUCCCCAGUUGCGAUGUCUGGGGAGACUGCCGGGCGAACCCCGGAGGAAGGUGAGGACGACGUCAAGUCCGCAUGGCCCUUACGUCUGGGGCGUCACACACGCUACAAUGGCCGGUACAGCGGGAAGCCACCCUGUGAAGGGGCGCCAAUCCCCCAAAGCCGGCCUCAGUACGGAUUGGAGGCUGCAACCCGCCUCCAUGAAGUCGGAGUUGCUAGUAACCGCGCGUCAGCACAGUGCGGUGAAUGCGUUCCCGGGCCUUGUACACACCGCCCGUCACACCACGAAAGUCGGCAAGACUCGAAUGCCCUGGGCCAACCCACUCCCUCGGGAGCGGGAGGCAGGGGUUGAGAGUCGGGUCGAUAAUUGGGGUG